CCUACGGGGGGCAGCAGUAGGGAAUCUUCCACAAUGGGCGAAAGCCUGAUGGAGCAACGCCGCGUGGGUGAAGAAGGUCUUCGGAUCGUAAAACUCUGUUGUUAGAGAAGAAAGUGCACGAGAGUAACUGUUCACGUUUCGACGGUAUCUAACCAGAAAGCCACGGCUAACUACGUGCCAGCAGCCGCGGUAAUACGUAGGUGGCAAGCGUUAUCCGGAUUUAUUGGGCGUAAAGGGAACGCAGGCGGUCUUUUAAGUCUGAUGUGAAAGCCUUCGGCUUAACCGGAGUAGUGCAUUGGAAACUGGGAGACUUGAGUGCAGAAGAGGAGAGUGGAACUCCAGGUGUAGCGGUGAAAUGCGUAGAUAUAUGGAAGAACACCAGUGGCGAAGGCGGCUCUCUGGUCUGUAACUGACGCUGAGGUUCGAAAGCGUGGGUAGCAAACAGGAUUAGAUACCCGAGUAGUC
RNAcentral lists this ribosomal RNA (465 nucleotides) under uncultured bacterium. Its description in RNAcentral is "partial 16S ribosomal RNA". It matches the Rfam family "Bacterial small subunit ribosomal RNA", at positions 338 to 795 of the family's 1533-position model. The record is from RNAcentral.